RNAcentral lists this non-coding RNA (894 nucleotides) under Hemiergis talbingoensis (Victoria three-toed earless skink). Lineage: Eukaryota; Metazoa; Chordata; Lepidosauria; Squamata; Scincidae. The record is from RNAcentral.
UUCCCAAAAACAUAAAGUUUUGGUCCUAAACUUGCCAUUGUUUUUUAGCAAAAUUAUACAUGCAAGCCUCUACAAGCCAGUGAGAAUGCCCACGUACCCUAAACAGCUAACCGGAGCGGGCAUCAGGAUACAAUCAACGUUUAAGCCAAAGACGCCUUGCGCACGCCACACCCACACGGGUCUUCAGCAGUAAUUAACAUUAAAAAUGAGCGCAAGCUCGAUUUAGUUAUUCUAAACAUGGUCGGUAAAUUUCGUGCCAGCCACCGCGGUUAUACGAAAGACCAAAAACAACAGCCAACGGCGUAAAGCGUGACUAGAGGCUUACCUAAUAAUUAAAGGAGAACAACCGCCAAGUUGUAAAACACUACUGCACACUAGAAUCACAACAAUAAAUGCCUUUAAACAGACUUCACCUCACGAAAGCUAAGAAACAAACUGGGAUUAGAUACCCCACUAUGCUUAGCCCUAAACACAGAUAGUAUAAACACAAACUAUCCGCCAGAGAACUACAAGCGAAAAGCUUAAAACUCCAAGGACUUGGCGGUGCUUCAAAUCAACCUAGAGGAGCCUGUCCUAUAAUCGAUACCCCACGUUUUACCUUACCACUUCUAGCCAACCAGCCUAUAUACCGCCGUCGUCAGCCUACCUUAUGAAAGAAAUAAAGUGAGCAAAAAAGUCAAUAACUAACACGUCAGGUCAAGGUGUAGCAUACGAAGUGGCAGAGAUGGGCUACAUUUUUUCAAAGUAAAAACACAGAUAGUAAACUGAAACACACACUUGAAGGCGGAUUUAGUAGUAAGACAAGAAAGCACACUCGUCUUAAAUCUGCUCUGAAGCGCGCACACACCGCCCGUCACCCUCAUCAUAUGUUACACCACACAAAAUAUUUCAUUA